UGAAAAAUAAGUUAAAUUCAGACUGUCGGAUUAAUAAUUCGGAUGUGAGUUAUCUCUUUUUUAA
Molecule: transfer RNA, 64 nt
Filed under: Liposcelis decolor
Lineage: Eukaryota; Metazoa; Arthropoda; Insecta; Psocodea; Liposcelididae
Description: tRNA-Ile
Source: RNAcentral